GCUAGGGAGAGCAGAGAUGUAGGAGGAAUGGAGAGCCGCGCAGGUACCAAUUGCCAAUACUACAUGAGUAAUCUGGAGAAAACCACUCAAUUCCUUUGACUCUCAGCACCUCCAGGGGUAAAAUCACUGUUGGCAAUACUUGAAGAAUCAGGGGCCCACUAACACUGCCCACGUUCUGCAAAGCAGACAUUAUAUGAACUUGAUGGUAAGCCCCAACUGCUGAAGACACUACAAACUUGACUAAUAGCGCAUGGAGAAAUCAAGCCACAGCCUCGAAGCUUCAUCCGUCCUGACUAAAUUUCAGAUGGCAAGAAAGUGUUCUGCACCAUACCAGAGGAGAAAAGUGAUCAAUAGUCUUACCUAACUGUGAACGCUUAAAAUUAUGAUAAUGUUUCAUCUGGCUGGUACAUACAAGAGUGGCAUGGGUGUUACAGCAGUAACUAGUUACUUUAUAAUUGGAUAUAAAGCCAGCCUGUUCCACCAGAGAAAACUCAUAACUAGUACAAUUAACUGAGCCAAAAAUUCCAUUUCUAUACAAGUCAAUAGCCAGAGUCCUUAGAGAAACUUUGGUUGUCAUUGUUGCUGUUGUUUCAGUUAAUGGUAAUUACUACAGACACAUACAACUGGUCAGCACACAGGGAAUGUCACAACUCUUCACUGCAAGGCUUGGGGAUCAUCAUGGAAGAGGGUGCAAAAAGAAUGUAAAGAGUGUUAAGAGCCAGAAGUAGCAGAUGUCCACAAUGUCACAGCAUUUCCUGGUCAUGACUAGGAUAUUGCAUACCUGAACUCUUAGCAGCUGUGAUUGUAUGUACAAGUGAAAUUAUCAAAUAAGCUAAACUUCUAGCACAGAUAUGGGGUAGCCUAUGACGUCUCAGGCAUUGCUGAGAAGCUACAGUUAGUUGAUGGUUUGUAGCGGAGGUAAUGUCAAUUUUAUUUUGGAAUGUGACCACUGAGAGAUGGUCCUACACUCAUGUUCAGUAGGUGCUUGUAGAUAACAGUGAGCAGACCCAGUGGAUUUUUCAAAGAGACUACGAAGUUAAAAAGAAGUGGUUGAUAAAGAGGAGAGGAGCGGGGCUGGAGAGAUGGCUCAGCGGUUAAGAGCACUGACUGCUCUU
Grammomys surdaster is the source of this 1115-nucleotide long non-coding RNA. RefSeq lists it as uncharacterized. The record is from RefSeq and is a predicted model, not a curated record. Lineage: Eukaryota; Metazoa; Chordata; Mammalia; Rodentia; Muridae. The transcript has 3 exons.